This 328-nucleotide long non-coding RNA is filed under the name Mytilus galloprovincialis (Mediterranean mussel). Lineage: Eukaryota; Metazoa; Mollusca; Bivalvia; Mytilida; Mytilidae. The record is from RNAcentral.
AGUGCAAAUUUCAGGUUAAAGUUUUUGGUCAAGGUAGUUUUUGAUGAAGUUGAAGUCCAAUCAACUUGAAACUUAGUAUACAUGUGCCCUAUGAUAUGAUCUUUCUAAUUUUAAAUGCCAAAUUAGAGUUUUGACCCCAAUUUUACGGUUCACUGAACAUAGAAAAUGAUAGUGCAAAUUUCAGGUUAAAGUUUUUGGCUUCAGGUUAAAGUUUUUGGUCAAGGUAGUUUUUGAUGAAGUUGAAGUCCAAUCAACUUGAAACUUAGUAUACGUGUGCCCUAUGAUAUGAUCUUUCUAAUUUAAAUGCCAAAUUAGAGUUUUGACCCCA